GAUACCCUAUUAUACUAAAAGGAUUGAUAAAUUGACCAGAUUAUUAAUAGAUAUGUUCUUUAAAUUUAAAGAAUUUGGCGGUGAUUUAGUCUUGUCAGAGGAACCUGUUUUUGAAUCGAUACACCACGCAGAAUCUUACUCACUUUUGUUAAAAGAAUAUGUUAUAACAGCCUAUAUACCAUCAUUAGCAGAUAAUUUUAAAAGAAAUAAUUAUUGCAAUUUAUGUAGUUAAAUUAAAUUAGAUCAAGGUGUAGCUUAUAAGUGAGUUAAAAUGGGUUACAAUAAAAUUUAUUUAUUACGUAAUAAUUAGAGAAUGACUAAUUAAAAGGAGGAUUUGAUUGUAAUGUAAGUUUAAUAUGCUUAAGAGAUAUUAGCUCUAAAUCAUGUACAU
This 391-nucleotide ribosomal RNA is filed under the name Lydia annulipes. RNAcentral's name for it is "partial 12S ribosomal RNA". The record is from RNAcentral. Lineage: Eukaryota; Metazoa; Arthropoda; Malacostraca; Decapoda; Oziidae.